This 394-nucleotide unclassified non-coding RNA is filed under the name fungal sp. Its description in RNAcentral is "partial internal transcribed spacer region". The stretch from base 1 to 46 matches the Rfam family "Eukaryotic small subunit ribosomal RNA", at positions 1786 to 1831 of the family's 1831-position model. Lineage: Eukaryota; Fungi. The record is from RNAcentral.
AAGUCGUAACAAGGUUUCCGUAGGUGAACCUGCGGAAGGAUCAUUAACACGUAUCCAAACGUUAAACCCCCCUGUGAACCUUCAGUCGUACUCGUACGUCCGUUAGAAAAAGCAGCAAUCCCUGCAAGGAGCGUGCAUGUUGUGCGUGUAAGUGGCCUGGCAUCCCCAAGCAGUUAGUGUCUGAAAGUGUCACUAACGUUAGUGUCUGAAAGUGUCACUAACAUGUGUAAGGAUGACGCAGUCACGAUCGUUGGAGGCCCACACGGCCGACGACCGGGUCACUGGGUGCAAGCCCCCUUAUCACACCCCUGCUCUAUCUAUGGUGAUCCUGCGGGAAGUCCUGCGGUCGAACGCCGAAACCGAACAACUGUUAACAAUGGAUAUCUUGGUUCUC